RNAcentral lists this long non-coding RNA (349 nucleotides) under Chrysemys picta bellii (western painted turtle). RNAcentral's name for it is "lncRNA (ENSCPBG00000027998.1)". Lineage: Eukaryota; Metazoa; Chordata; Testudines; Emydidae. The record is from RNAcentral.
CGCGCGCGCGCACACACACACACACACCGUGUAUUAUCCCCCAUGCUUUCUCCUCCCUCUUCACGUGCAAUGCCUCUGAGUGUGCAAUGCUUGUCUGCUCGGGAGCGCAGCGUCCUUCACAGCGGAUUGGUUCCUCUUUCGGAGCAGAGAAGGCUGACAUAUCUUCCUGUGUUCAUUGUGUGAGCUGCUCUUCAACAAAUUAAAAAUCGUCCAGGACCAGGCAGGAUAUAACUGCAAUCUAUGUGCUUUCAAGAACACACAGAGCAACCAAAGGUGUACACCUCUCUUUGCCUUGUAAGAUCAUGAAGAAAGGAGAAAUGCAAUGUAAUAAAAUAGGAAGAUCGCUGCA